This 2414-nucleotide long non-coding RNA is filed under the name Sus scrofa (pig). Its description in RNAcentral is "lncRNA (ENSSSCG00025032247.1, ENSSSCG00065023043.1)". Lineage: Eukaryota; Metazoa; Chordata; Mammalia; Artiodactyla; Suidae. The record is from RNAcentral.
AGAUCUCUUCCAACUCAUUUGUUAUGGUUAUAAUUCUUUAUAAAGGCUACAUAAUAUUCCAUGGUGUGUUGUAUCAAAAUUAAUUCGGUAUUUUCUCUUUUGAUAAGCAUUCAUUUUAAGAUAACUUCAUUGACACUUUGUUGGCAUUUAGAAGGAAACAGAGCUAAAUGUAUGUACUCAUUUCUACAUUUUUAAGUUGGAAGUCUAGCCUCCAAACUUGUGAAUGAAUGCUAAAUGCAAGUGUAUUUUCAGAAAUAAAGCUAUGAUAAUUGAUAUUUUGGGAGGUAAUGAAAUAUACUUUGUACAAAUAGCAGCAGUUGAUUGCUUUAGGAUCUCUAGAAUAAGUUGUUUGGACAUACACUUGUUAGCAAAUAUUCUAGAUGUAUGAGGCUCACGUAGGAAUCUUUUAGCAAAUUCAAAAGACCUGCUUGCAUUAAAGCCCAAGGAGAGGUAAUUGAUCUGGGGGGGCGGGGUGGGGGGGCGGUUUGUCAGACCUUGCCUCUCAGGUGGCUGAAAGGCCACUGACAUCAGCAUCAGCUUUGAUUUGUUAUUCAAAGUGUCAAGGGCUGUGGCACCAACAGGACACACCACCAAGAACUCUAGGUUCCUCCUGUCCCAAACUCGCUUUGCUUAAGUAGGAAAUGCUGGGAUCAUCUAUGUGAGAAAAGAAUCUGAAGAAGAAUGGAUGUGUGUAUAUGUAUGACUGAAUCGCUUUGUUGUACAGCAGAAAUUAUCACAACCUUGUAAAAUAAAUAUACUUAAAUAAAACUUAUUUUAAAAAAACAUUAGCCAUUAACUUGUCUUAGGCAGACAAAGAAUUACUAUAUUUUAAAUGGCAUUGUGCUGUUUCCUAUAGGUAGAUUACCUGAAUCUACCUGAAUUAGGUAAAGUUGUGUCUGAGGGACUUUCUUAGAAAAUUUAGUCUUUUUAAAAUGUUGGCAGAACCCAGUCAGGGCUUCAUUCCUGGCUGGUGCCGGUGCUCUCUCCUGGCCUUGGUGCCCAGCAGCCUACAGAGCAUCCCUGGGUCUUGAGCAGCUUUUUGAAGUCUUGAUUUCUGUCAAUUGCAAGUCAGGAGACAUGGGCUCUAGCUUUGACUUUAUUAUUAGUUGUCUUGCCUUAGACAUGUCACUUAAAAUACCAGUUCUCGCUUUCCUCAUUAGUAACAUUAAGAGUUAGAUGAGGGUCCUCUUAAGUCCUUCCAGCAUGUGUGUUUAUGAUCAAUAUUCUGUCUGUUCUUAAUUGAAUCUUCUCGAUAAGACUCCUAGCAGAUCCCUUUUUAUUGCUGGUUAUUACACAGGACUGUUAAUAAUCCAUUACUUAAAAAUGGCUUGUUCUAGGACACCUGUGACUUUUGGUCCCUGAAUUGGCCACUGGUGUAAUCAUGGUUGUUUUGGCUUCUCUGAGUCUCAGGGGACAGGUUACUCAGACCAGAAGGUCAGGAUCAUAAGGACUUGUGCUAUUUGUUCAUGAUCUGAGUUCUUUAGACAUAAGGAUCCAGUGGCAGAUUCACGUUUCCAUUUAGACUGUUGUUCCUGGGAAAAAUAAUCAGGGAUGCUGUUUUAGCACAAGCCGUAGCCAAUCUCAGACUUGACUUGGCCUUUUUUAUAGAACAGUGAGGGAGUGUCAUAUUUGCCUUGUACAGAUGCCAGGAAUCAGAUGGCCCCUCCACGCUUCAGGGCUGCUUGGAAGCAUAACCGGCGAUGAUCAGGAGCUUCAUCCUGUUCUAAUGGUGCCUCUGAGUCCCAGCAGCACUAGCAGAACUCUGUUAGGCUCCAUUCAGUGUUUGGCGGCCAGACCAUACUUCUGCCACUCUUGGCCACCACACUAUUAAGGCAAACUUCUAAUUUCAUUCCUUUAACAGAUACUCCCCAAAUAGUUACUGAGCAGCAACGACAGGCUCGGCACUGUUCCAGGCUCAGAGAAAAUGACAGUGAAGUGAAUUAAUUCCUAUCAUAAGGCAGUCGUGUUCUGAGGAGCAAAAGAAAGAACAAAUGUGCAAAAUAUGAGUCUGUUAGGCCGUGAGUCUAUGGAGAAAAAUAGGCAGGAGAUGUGUGGGGAAGGGCACAUGUAUUCCUGGGGAUUCAGGGAAGGACUUACAGGGAAUGUAACACUUGAAGAACAGCUUAAAGGAAGGGAGGGGAGUCUGGAGGUUCAUGAGGAGAAGAGAAGAGCUUAAUGAUUAUAAUUAGACUUAUUUUUUAGAAAGUAAAAGGAAGAUAAAUAUUUUCUAAAAAUAUACCUAGAUGUCUAAAGCUGUAUUCAGGGACUGCAGUGGUAAAUUCAUAGUCUUAAAUCCUUAUAUUCUUUUUGUAAAAAAAAAAGAGAAUAAAUUAAUUAUGUUUAUUACUCAAUUUGGCAAAAUAAGUAUAAAACAAACCUAAGGGAGGUAUGAGGAAAUAAGUAAGAAUAAAAGU